Molecule: transfer RNA, 70 nt
Filed under: Allobosea sp. 12-68-7
Lineage: Bacteria; Pseudomonadati; Pseudomonadota; Alphaproteobacteria; Hyphomicrobiales; Alloboseaceae
Description: Bosea sp. 12-68-7 tRNA-Ser
Source: RNAcentral
GGUCUCGGAAAUCCGUAAAACUACGUUGACAUCGUAGGGGUCACAGGUUCGAUCCCUGUCGCGCCCACCA